RNAcentral lists this ribosomal RNA (622 nucleotides) under uncultured bacterium. RNAcentral's name for it is "bacterial SSU rRNA". It matches the Rfam family "Bacterial small subunit ribosomal RNA", at positions 338 to 951 of the family's 1533-position model. The record is from RNAcentral.
CCUACGGGAGGCAGCAGUGGGGAAUUUUGGACAAUGGGGGCAACCCUGAUCCAGCCAUUCCGCGUGAGUGAAGAAGGCCUUCGGGUUGUAAAGCUCUUUCGCAAGGGAAGAAACGAUACAAGCGAAUAACUUGUGUUAAUGACGGUACCUUGAUAAGAAGCACCGGCUAACUACGUGCCAGCAGCCGCGGUAAUACGUAGGGUGCAAGCGUUAAUCGGAAUUACUGGGCGUAAAGCGUGCGCAGGCGGUUUUGUAAGUCAGAUGUGAAAUCCCCGAGCUCAACUUGGGAACUGCGUUUGAAACUACAAGGCUAGAAUAUGUCAGAGGGGGGUAGAAUUCCACGUGUAGCAGUGAAAUGCGUAGAGAUGUGGAGGAAUACCAAUGGCGAAGGCAGCCCCCUGGGAUAAUAUUGACGCUCAUGCACGAAAGCGUGGGGAGCAAACAGGAUUAGAUACCCUGGUAGUCCACGCCCUAAACGAUGUCUACUAGUUGUUGGUGGAGUAAAAUCCAUGAGUAACGCAGCUAACGCGUGAAGUAGACCGCCUGGGGAGUACGGUCGCAAGAUUAAAACUCAAAGGAAUUGACCGGNNGAGAGNGACGACGACGACGACGAGGGAGGAGG